CGAAUGGGCAAGCGUUGUUCGGAAUCACUGGGCGUAAAGCGUGUGUAGGCGGUUAUCAAGUCAGAAGUGAAGCCCAGGGCUCAACCCUGGAAUUGCUUUGAAACUGAUAGGCUAGAGUACUGGAGAGGUUAGCAGAAUUCCGAGUGUAGAGGUGAAAUUCGCAGAUAUUCGGAGGAAUACCAGUGGCGCAAGCGGCUAACUGGACAGUAACUGACGCUGAGACACGAAAGCGUGGGAUCAAACAGGAUU
This 249-nucleotide ribosomal RNA is filed under the name uncultured bacterium. Its description in RNAcentral is "partial 16S ribosomal RNA". It matches the Rfam family "Bacterial small subunit ribosomal RNA", at positions 527 to 779 of the family's 1533-position model. The record is from RNAcentral.